AUGUGGUGUGUUUGUCUAAAUAUCAGACUACAGCUCUUUAUAAGCCCUUCUAAAACGAGAGGAAAGAAAAUCCUAUAUGGGCUCAAGGCCCAGUCAGACAAGGGGUGGCCCUCGGUCGCUCCUUGCGCCGCUGUAGGCUGUGCUCAAACCCUGUUUUUCUUCUGUUCCCCUCACCAAAGCCUUCCUCUGGUCUUCCCAACAAAGGCUACUGCCGUCGCUGCUGCUGGUGGCUACCCCCGACCUUGCGCCGCUGUAGGCUGUGCUCAAACCCUGUUUUUCUUCUGUUCCCCUCACCAAAGCCUUCCUCUGGUCUUCCCAACAAAGGCUACUGCCGUCACUGCUGCUGGUGGCUACCCCCGACCUUGCGCCGCUGUAGGCUGUGCUCAAACCCUGUUUUUCUUCUGUUCCCCUCACCAAAGCCUUCCUCUGGUCUUCCGAACAAAGGCUACUGCCGUCGCUGCUGCUGGUGGCUACCCCCGCCGUGACCCGUGA
This 492-nucleotide ribosomal RNA is filed under the name Triticum aestivum (bread wheat). Its description in RNAcentral is "partial small subunit ribosomal RNA". Lineage: Eukaryota; Viridiplantae; Streptophyta; Magnoliopsida; Poales; Poaceae. The record is from RNAcentral.